Molecule: long non-coding RNA, 18627 nt
Filed under: Vitis vinifera (wine grape)
Lineage: Eukaryota; Viridiplantae; Streptophyta; Magnoliopsida; Vitales; Vitaceae
Description: long non-coding RNA (VVIN_LNC007741)
Source: RNAcentral
UCUGAACAAGUAACAUAAUUCAUUGCUGGGAACCAAAUAGCAUUUCAAUUGUUUGGAUACAGCAAAGUGUCAUGCCAGGACUUCUCUUUUCUAAAAUGGACGAAGAAAAGCACAUAGUUCUUUUCGAAGUAUUUAGGAAAAUCUAUCAUGUUCAGAAACUAAAUUUAUUGAGAAAUUUUGCUGGCUAGUGAUCAUACAUCAUGGAACAAUGUUGCCUGUGCUUGACAGUAAGUAUUUUGCAGUUUUGUACUACUCAGAAGUUUUUAAGUUUGGAAGUAUCUGUUUCAAUGAUGUAAUUUUCAUACCUCUGGAAACAAGGAGAUGCCUCCAAGGAGACAAAGGGAUGGGACAGCAGCAUAGCAUAGCGUAGCCAAGGAGUACGCAGCCCACAGAUUAUAGAUAGAGUAUGCGAGUUGAAGUUUCAGAGGAACCUUUUUGUGUCCAUAUAUAAGUGGACAGUGUCUCGAGAGAAAGAUCUGAAGGUGGCCCUCAGACCAUCUCUUAUGUUGUACUAGUGACUGUAACAGUGUUGUGGGCGCAACACCCAAGAAGCCCUUCCUUUCUGGAUUGAAAUAGACGGAUUUCCAACCUCUACAUUGUAUUGAGAAUCCUGUGAUAAUGUCUUCCACUGCACAAUCAUACUUAAGGCCCAUCUGCAAUUCAACAUAAAGAUUAAGUUUUUUAGCUUAAGAAAUAGGAAAAAGCUUUACAGGCAGGAAAUUCAUGAGACAGAGAGACAGAAGAACCUCCUUUCCCCAUUGACUGUUCUCUUCAUAGGUACAACUUGCAAGGACCUUACAUGAUUCUUCUAAUACACUAGCACUUUCUCUUCCUCUUCUGUCAUUCUCUCUCUUCCAUUCUCUCUCACAUUCCUUGCCAUAUUUCAUUCCACACAGUGCCACUCUCCUAUGAAAGCACCCGGUGCCAAUAUAGCAAGGUCCUCCAUUAGAAUCAAGGCCUGGAAGUUCCACCUUUUUCACCAGUCAUGUCAAAAGCCAACAAUAAAAUCAUUAGGAAGUCAUUGCUAAUGCCUACCUCCUCUAGGCCAAGCAGUAAGGAAUAUAUAAUUCUUUCCAAUCUUGCCUACCUGAAUAAUCACCCUAAGGCAGGUGCCAUAUAAGUCAUUCCUAGUAAGAUUAUCGUAGCACUGUGGAAACUGGACAUAUGCAAUUUCAUGGCCCUUCUCUUCAUCCAUGAAAAAACACAGAGCAUCUCUCACUGAUUCUGAAUUGUUGGAGUACAUAUCACAGUCCACAUUAAGAAUAAUCGAGCCAUUGCUUAUCUUUGAUGACACCCUUAUCUGUUCAACAAAAUCAGAGUCACCUACAUUAAGAUAAUUGACAGUGGGUCACUGUAGGAAAGCUGAAGUCAUUUAAGCUUACAAGUGCAUUCAUGGCUCCAGCUUUAAAAUUGUGAUGGUAUUGGGGUCUCUUCUCACGGGACAAGUACACUAGAGUUGGCAAUGGUUGUCCUUCAGAGUCCACAGCCUUGGGGUCUCUCCCAUCAAUCACUAUCUGUUACUUUAUAUAAUAUUAGUAAAAGAUGAAUCAAAGAAAAAUAUGGAGAAAAACCAAGAAGAGACGUAUUGAUUUUCAAGAAGAAAUCUCUUGGAAUAGGAAAAAAAUACACAAAUUAGUAGAAUAACUACUUGAACAAUGGACUGAUGGUCAUGCCGUGUUGAAGCACUGUUCCACUCCAGAAAUCCCUUGUGCUCCUUUCUUAUUUCUUCUGAAAUUCUCCCCAGUCUAGUGGUGGUUUCGAUUCUAUUCUUCAUGUCUUCAUACAAUUCCUAUAAUGAGAAAAGGAAUAGAACUUUUAAAUCGUAUGUAGAAAAACUCUAAAAAGAUUUGCCUAGUAUGGGAGUUACACAUACUCAUUACAACAUGGAAAGAGAGAAAAAUUCAAGUACCAUACCACAUGCCAUUACACAGUCUGAUGAACAUUUUCUUUGUUCUCCUAAGAGUUUAAGUUCCUAGGAUUUGGACUUUUUUUUUUUUUAAUUUUUAAUUUUUAAUUAUUUGUGGGCAUACAUGUGGGCUCAACAAAUCGGGAAAAUAAAUAUGUAUUGAGGUUUGAAUACAUGAUCUCCCACCCAGCCUGCUAUAUCAAUUUUACUAAAAACUUAACUUUGCGGGAUUUGCACCCAUAAUAUAUAUUAUACUCUUCCACACUCAUCAUUAUUUAUGAUCUCUAAAUUGUUUGCAGGAUUUGGAUCUAUAAUAUAUGUUAUACUCUUCCACUCUUCAUUAAUUAUGAUCUAUAAAUUGCUUGUACGAUUUGGACACAUAAUAUGUCUUGUACUCUAUCAUAUUCCUCAAUUCUAAUCCCUCAUAGAAUUUAUUUGAGUGGUCAUAAUGCAAGUCAAAUCUUAAGAGAAAGGAAGGAAUUUCAUCUUCGUUAUACCAACAAGACUCUUGCUGUAACGCUCCCAACCGUGCUUUGGACCCAAAGAGGCCCUCACAGUUUUAAAACGCAUCUACUUGGUUAAGAGGAACCUUUACAUAUAUAGCAUUAGGAACAUUCUCCUCUAUCCGAUGUGGGACAUCACAAACGCCCCUCCAUGUAGAUACAACGUCCUCGUUGUGUCCUAUGGGAUUGUGGGGCCAAACAAACAAACACUCCUUACAGGGCCAAACAAACCCUCACACCGGGGUCGGAGAUCAGCUCUGAUAUCAUUUGUAACAAUCUGUUCCCAAUCGUGUAGAUAUUAUCCGUUUUGUAUCCAAAGAGGCCAUUACGGCUUUAAAACGCGUCUACUUGGUUUAGAGGAGUCUCUACAUAUAUAGCGCCAGAAACAUUCUCCCCUAUCUGAUGUGGACAUCACACUUGCCUUUUGCAAAGUCCUUAAACCAUAUUUUACAUUGCUUUUAAAAAACACUUAAUUUUACUUUAAAAAAUAUUUUUGAGAAAAAAAUAUGGUCGCUUCAUAAAAUUUAAAAAACAUUUCUAAAAAAUUAAAAAAUCUUAGCAUUCUAUAUAUGAUCCUCCCAUAAAAAAAAAUAAAAAAAUAAAAAAAUAAAAAAUAAAAAAUAAAAAAAAAAUAAAAAAAAAACCUUCUUCUAAAGAACACUACCGAGCACGCACACAUUCAUUCAUUAUCUUCCCUGCAAAACUUUCCGGAAAAGAUGCAACAAUUUUGAAGUGGGUCAGACUGAUGAUGCACAGCGGUCGACAUUAAUGUUGGGGAUCUUUCGUAUCUUAAAUAGUUACUCAUUAAAAGGACAGGAUCCUUCUUACUGUCUGAGGCUCUCUUCCAGCUUCGAUUAUUUCCUUUAACAAUUGGGUCUUUGGAAUGAAGUCAGAGCAGCCUUGGAAGUAGUUGCAGCUUGCAACUAUAUGUUGACAAUUGAUCUUAAACCAAAAUUCAUAGAAUCCAAGGAGAAAAAAACAGAGAAAGUUGUACCUUGAUGGACAACCACUCCUGAGCCAUGAGAGGAUUGCUAUCAGGGGGUUCAGAAGUUGUGGAAAAAUAAGCAGCAGGUGAUCUUGGUUCUAUACUGAACUUCCUACAAAAUGGUAGCCAAUGUUUUGAGAAGCGAGAGGCCUCCAACAAAGCAUAGAAGGUCAGGUCUGAGCCUCCAUCAUCAGAGAGAUAGACGCUUAGGUUCUGUGAUGGGUAAUUGUAAGCCAUGACUGAUAAAACAGUGUUGAUGACCAUGAUGGGUGGCUCUAUUCUUGGAUCUGCAGUGCACACAAAUAUGUCUAUGCCCGGCAAAACCUCCUCAUAUCUGCAAUGAAAUUUCAGAAUGAGCCAUUAGCAGGUGAAGAUAGGAGCAAGAAGAGGGAGAGAGAUUGAAAAAACCUCUGAGAGAGCCUGUCUUUGAAGGUGUAACGAUAGAUGGGGCUCCAUCUAACAAGCUGAGUGAGAAACCAGUAGAAACUGAACAACAACUCAGAUAGAAACAAUCCCAUCCAAGCCCAUCUUCUUAGCACUUGUGCGCCUGCAGGUGGGAAGUGAACCACCCUGUAAACCCAGAUAAAAAUAAUACCCACAAACACUGAUGCUGCAUAACAUCUGAAUAGGAUACGACCCUUUGCAACCUUGGUUUCAAAGAGAGGAAGAUAGCCAUCUCUGCCCAUUUCUACACUGCCUCUCUCUCCAUUCAUUUCCAUGACCUUAUAGAGUCACAUGACCCUUUUGUUUUUUUGUCAGUGGAUUAUUGGAAGGAUACCAUUGGAGGCCUUUUUUCGAAAUUUACAGUCCUUGUAUGCUAUACUUUGUCACCAUAUGAGUGGGUAACAUUGGGUGGCCAGGCCAAAGGAUGGUUUUAUUUUUUAAAUAUUUUGAACACAUUUAAAAAUCAAAGAAUUUUGAUCUAUGGAAAUUAAAGACUAGUUGGUGUUAGUCUUUGAACGAAAGAGUACUUUGCAGUAUCAUAUUAAAUUCGUUUGUCUAAUAUCAUUUCAAAUCAUGUAAGGUAACAUGGCGACUAAGUUGUUAUUAAAAAAUGCUUUCACGCAUAUGAAAAAUAUAACUACACCAACACAAAAACAAUAUAAAAAAGAUUAGGGUGAAGUAUAUAUGAUUAAAGAUAUAAUGUACUAAAGCAGUAAGAAUGUUGUCAUAUUCCUAGUAAGGACAAGUUGGUCUUGAAAUUUUGUCUCAAAAAAUCUCCUGUCACCUUCAAAACGUAAGAGAAGGUCCACAAUCUCUUUCAAAGUUAUAAAUGACUUUUUUAAAACACAACUAAUAUAGAUCAAGAUAAGAAUAAAUGUCUCUUUCACAAUGCUAUUGGAAAGUAUUUUUAAUAUCAAAUUAAAAAAAAAUAUUUUUUUAAAAUUGAAUAUUUGGUAAAUUUUUAAAAAUAUUUUUAAAAAUUUUAAAAAUCAUUUGAAAUAUUUUUUAAAGAAAUAUAUGAUAGAUGGUUCUUUUAAAAAAAAAUAUUUUUUAAUGAAAUUUUAAAAAAUAUUUUUAAGAAGUUGAAAAAUUUCUUAUAGUGCUUUUUGAAGAAGUAUUUGAUAGAAAUGGAAAUAUAGAGAAAUAGUAAUAUAGUAUGAUGUAAUAAGAUGUAAAAAAAAAGAGUAAAGUAAUUGGACAAUGUAAAGUCUUACAUAUUCAAAAGUGAGAUUUUGUGGAAAAAUAUUAGUUUGCAAUAGAAAAUAAGGGCAAAAAUAAUGAUGUUGAAUGUGUAAUGUACAGUGAAUAAGGAAUGAUAGAUAAAUAGAAUUUGUGAAAAAAAAAAAAAGAACAAGAAAAAAAUUAAGGAUAUGUGGUUGGACAAGGAAUUGAUGUUUUGAUGUUGUAUGGUAAAGGAGGAAAACAAAAUUUAAAUAUAGAAUUAGUUAUUAUAAGGAUUAAUUAAUAAUAAGGGAUAUAACUUUUUUAUUUUUUAUUUUAUUUUAUGAUACAUCAUAAUGUCAGAUUUGUAUUAAUGAGAUUUAUUUUAUUUCAUUUUAUUUGUCGAAACGAAUUUAUAAUUUAAUCAAUUUAUGCUAUAAUAUUUAGUCCUUAGCAAGUUGUAGAAGAAUUGAAAAAGGUGAACGGGAGUGGUCAUUAACCUAAUGAUAUCAGUUGAUUGACUUAAUUCUCUUUUAAUUUGAAAACAUGUUUAUCAAAAUCCCAUUAGUUUAUGCAAAUUUGUUUAUAUUUUGUAAGCUGAAAUUUCCAUGACAUUUUAUGUCCUUUUUUUUCUUUGUUUUUACCAAAAAGCUCAUCACCUCUACUUUUGAAAUGCCCCUUCUGACUGCGUUUUGGUCCCUUGAAUGUGGAUAAUAAGUCACAUCAUGAGUAGGAAGGCAUCUCAUUAGUUUGUCAUUAGCAACUUCGUGAGUAGGAAGGAAUCUCAUUAGUUUAUCAUUUGUUUAGGGAUGAUAAUAGGAUUGGUUUUUUUAGUACCCGUUCAGCAUAUAAUGGGGUGAGGUUUAAUUUUAAUAAAUGAAUUUGGGACGAGUUUAAGAAUUUUUUUUUUAAAACUCGCGACAGGUUCAGGUAUUGCCUCGUAUCGCCAAAUUAUAUAUAAAAUUAAUUAAUUUAAAAUUUAAAAUUAAUUUAAUUUAAUUUUUAUUUUACUAUUUUUAAUAUAUAAAUAAUAAUUCUUGGGGAGGACUUUAAUAGGCUUAAAUACUAAAACUGCCCUUCAACUAAAACUUUCAACUAAAACUUUUAAAAUUCAAAGUAUUUAAAGCACUUCACUUGAUUUGUUAGGACAUUUAUGGUGCAUAGGUUCCACAUUUAUUGUAAUUAUUGAUAUUCAAAUUUUAAAUCAAAAUUUUGGUUUAACCCUUACAAUUAUAUAUAAUUUGUUAUUUAAAUUUACCGUUUAAAACAAAAAUAUUUUCAAAAUUGUUUUUUUUUUACAUUUUUUUUUAUUUUUAUUCUAUUUUUUAAUUUUAAUUAAGAAAAAAGAUAAGUUUUAUAAUUAUAUAGUAAAAAUGAUGAUUUUUUCAUAUAUAUAUAUAUAUAUAUAUAUAUAUAUAGAUUAAUUUUAAAUUGAUAAAUUAUGUUUUUGUAUUAAAUUCAAAGAAGAUAAAAUGUUUAAUUUUUCAUUCAUAUUAUUUAAAAAUAAUAAGAAAAUGAUGGAGAAUGUUUAAUCAUUUUUUAUUUUUAUAAUAAAAUAAUUAAAAAAAAAUUGUAGUGUUUUUUUUCCUUUGCAUAGUGUUUUUUUUUUUCCUCAAUGCAUCAAGUGGAUGAUGUUAAUAUAUUUGAUAUGUUGAAUAUUAAUAAGGUAUAAAAAGUGAUUUUAAAGAUUAUUACUUUUAUUAUAAAAUACAAGUACAACAAAAAUAUGUUAUAAUUACAAUAUAAAUACACUUGCAUUACAAUAAACCUAAUUAGGAAAUUUUUGAAAUUUUUUAUAAAAAUGAUAAUUUUGUAUAAUCAUACCAUAUUUCACAAAAUACUUAUAUCAUAAAUAAUUUCUAAAACCAAAUGAAAUACUAAUUUGAAUUCACUCGUAGUUUUUUUUUUAAUAAACAAAAAUUAUUAAAUAAUUUUAAUGCACUAUAUGAAUGUUGUUAAUAUAUUGAUACGAUGUGUUAAUACCAAUAGGGUAUGAAAAAAUAGUUUUAGAAUUAUUAUUUUUGUAAUGAAAUAUAGUUAGGACAUAAAUGCAUUAUAUUUACAAUAUAAAUACACUAUCAUUACAAUAUAUUACAACAUAAUUUAAUUUAUUUUUGUUUAAUUUUUUCACAUGUUAUAUUACCCAAUGUAUAAUUGUGAGUUAUUAUAUUUAAUAGUUGUGUGUUAGUCAAUUGAAUAUUUAUAUAUUAUUCAAUUGACAAGUGCUUGUAAAAAAUAAUUAUUCAUUCUAUUAUGGUAACAAAGUUUUUAAUUGUAUGUUCUAUUAAUAAAAUGAUAUAAUAAUAUUAGGAUAUGAUUUUUAUUUAUGAGAUAUUGAAAAUUAUUUUUUUUACAAGAUUCUUUAAAAAAUCUCAAUUUUUUUUGAAAAAAAGAAAAGAAAAAAUAACAAAUUUUAAACAGUCACUUGAUUGUUUAAAAGUGAACAACAAUUUUUUCAAGUCUGAAAAAUGUACUGUAUUUAUCAUCAUGUAUGAGCCUCAUAUCAUAUAAUCUCAAAUUUAUUUAUAAAUAAUAUAGAAAACAUAUUCAAGGAUAAAAUUCUCUUCUAACAAUCUUUAAGAUAAGUGAGCUUUUCUAGUAAUUAUUCUUUCUAACCUACCUAUCGGGUAACUCUCCCAAAAUUAUACACACAAAUUCCUUGACGUGAAAUAGUAGGCAUUUGAUGGCGACAUUUGACAAUUCCCUUUCCACUGCCAAACUUCGGCAGCAGUGUUUCCGAAACGUGCAUGGUGGUGGUAGACGAGUGCUUGAUGGAGGAAAUUUGGAGGUUCCUGCCUUCCUGGUUGUGGAGCUCAUUUCAGCAUAUGGGCUUGCACCGAUUUCUAGAUCAAGGUCUCAUCUGACGGUCAAGUUCAAACGCAGAAAAGAAAAGAACAUAGAAGAGAGGUUUUGGGAGGGUUAGUCACCUCUUUUCCAAUAAAAGAUCUAAAGCCACCAAUAAAAAAACCAAGCCACUUCAUAAUUUCGAACAUAAAAGAUUGCCUUCUUACUUAAGAUUUUGAAAAUUGAGGUUACCGUAUGAUUGUACAUGAAAAAAAAAACGAUGUUCAUAAAUAUCCUUUGUAACAAAAUAAUAAGUGAUUUAUUUUUUAAAAAUAAAUAAAUAAAUAAAUAAUCAAUUUUAUAAAUAAAUAUCUAAUUUCCUAUAAAUCAAAAGUUCUGCAAAGCGUUACAUAAUAUACAUAGAGAGGUGUGGUGAAGAGACGCUUGGCUUACUGAUACAAAGCUAUUGAGCAGGCCAAUAGUACUAAAGCAACCGAUUUGUACGUGACAGAGGUUGGCAUGGCGCCCUUGUCCUUGCGGAAGAAAAGCCCUUGGUAUACAGGCAGGUUGAUGAGAACAACGACCCCACAUAAGAUACCCUGCAGUGCUAAUGACUCCAAAGCUUUGAUUUGAAUACCCACAAACACCCUCUUUACACAACAAACAAAACUGAACAGAUUGAGCAUUGCUAGUGUGGCUAUAAUGGUAAGCAUUGGUGAAGGAGAGCCGAACUCCAUAACUUCUUGCUCGUAUCUUCGAGACACAUCUUCAUCAGACACCUUUGCAGUGACUGCAAAAGUGGUCUCAGCAAACCCUAGUAGCUUCAAGAUUGUAUCAAGGAGGACAAAGAAAUAGGAAGUUGUCCUUCUCAACGCCCAUAUCCUCUGUUCAUUCCACCAACCUUGGGUUGUGCCACCAAACCAAAGAACUCGCCUAAGCUGUAUGCAUACUUGGCAAUGAUGACAUAGGCAAAGGGCAGUGCCCACAGGCUUGAUAUAUGAAAGGGGUAUAAUUCUUAAUAAUAAUGAUGAGUUUGGGAUUAAUUUGCUUUAGUAAUGUUAAAUUCAUUCCUCUGGAAACAAGGAGAUGCCUCCAAGUAGACAGAGGGAUGGGACAGCGACAUAGUAUAGUGUAGGCAAGCAGUUUGGAGCCCAGAGCAGCUAAGGACAAUAUGAGAAUUGAAGCUCUAGAGGAAUCCUUUUAUGCUCAUAUAGGAGGGGGCAGUACCUUGAGAGAAAGAUCUGGAAGUUGCCUUCAGACCAUCUCUUGUGUUGUAUUAAUGACUGCAAUAGUGUUGUAGGGGCAACACCUACAAAGCCUUUCCUUUCUGGGCUGAAACUGAUGGAUUUCCAACCUCUGCAUUGUAUUGAUAAUCCUGUAAUUAUAUCUUCCACUAAACAACCAUACUUCAAACCCAUCUGCAAGUCAACAUAAGCAUGAAGUUUCUUACUCGAAGAAAGAAGAAAAAGGAAAAAAAUAAAACGAUGGCAUUGAUGAGACAAAUAGAGGAACCUCUUUUCCCCAUUGGGUGUUCUCUACAUAGCUGUUGAAUUUUUAAUUUUGCCUUAGUAUCGGCUGGAAUUUGAAUUUUAAAGUUAGAUAUUGCAACUGGAGUCUUGCACAAAAUUUGCAACAUCCAAAUAUUUUCUUGUUUUUAUUUGAUCAAGAUUUGGUUUCUAUUUUAUAGGAAGUAGUUGUUCAUCAUCUAGUAGUUUGAUUUUCUACUAUUCUAAUGUCAUUUCAGUUACAAGCUCAUAUAUAAAUUCAACACUCUUCAUCAAUAAAAAGUGUGUUCCAAUAGCCUAAAAAUAAAUAUCCUGCAUAAGUGUUUAAUCUAAGAUCAUCAUUUUGGUAUCAGAGCAGAAAUUAUCUUGAGGGACCAGUGAGUUGAGUGAGCUAGAAGUUAUCUUGAGGGGUUAGUGAGUUGAGUGAGCCUGAAUACCUUGAGAGUGCCUAAACUCCUAUAGACCCUUGAGGUGAGUGAACCCAAAACACCAUGAGUGAACCCAAACACCUUCUAAAAUCAUCUAGCAAUAGAGAAGUCAAGUCUCACAACUGCACCAUCAAUUCUUGAUGGAGACAAUUAUGAAACUUGGGAUGUUAGAAUGAUAGUUCAUUUACAAGCACUUGAUGUUUGGGAAGCAGUGAAAGAAAAUUAUGAAGUUCCUCUCUUGGGAGCCAAUCCAACUGUGGCUCAAAUGAAGUUGCAUAAAGAAAGAAAGACAAGAAAGACUAAAGCGAAGGCUUGCUUGUUUGCUGCAGUUUCAUCAUCAAUUCUCAUCAAAAUCAUGAAAAUUGAUUUAGUUGCAAAAAUUUGGGAGUAUCUCAAGGAGGAAUACAAAGGAGAUGAAAUAAUCAAUAACAUGUAGGUGAUGAACUUGAUUCGAGAAUUUGAAAUAAAGAAAAUGAGGGAGUCUGAUGCUGUUAAAGACUAUGCUACACAACUUCUUUCACUAGCAUACAAAGUUAGGUUGCUUGGAAAAGAAUUUUCCAAUGAGAAGAUUGUUCAAAAGAUAUUGGUUACACUUCCUGAGAAAUAUGAAGUUACAAUUUCCUCUUUGGAGAAUUCAAAGUGAUAAAACAAAGGUUAUGAAUAAUUAAGGAAAAUACCCAAAAUGGGGGGUGAAUUGUAUUUUUUCAAAAUCUUUUUCCACACAAUAAUAUAUGCACAAAAUAAAUAAAGGAAAGAGAUAAAGUUAGAGAAUUCAAAUUCGGGUUUAUAGUGAUUCGGCACUCCUUUGCCUACGUCCACUCUCCUCAAUCUCCUAACCGAGUGAGGGGUCCCUAACUUGAAGCUUCAAUCAAGCUUUCAAUCUUCUUACACUUGGAUUCCGGCUCCAAUGGGCUCUUACACAAUCUCUUCAAGAUUUGAACCACUUAAAGACUUUCACACUCAGUUUACACAAAGAUGAAACUCUCAACCUAGCUUAAGGAUGACUCAAGUACAAGAGAAAGCUAGGAUGAUUUACAAGAGUGCACUAAGAAUAUGCAAGUGAUGGUUUAAUGCACUAAGAAAGAAAUGAGAGCUUUUUGAUCAAGAAUAGGUAGGUAGACAAUUGAUUGUAAAGGUUCUCUUAGUCAUAAAUGAAGUGGAGCUCUCAAUUUAUAGGUUUCUAAGCUCGGAAGACAAAAACAACAGAAAGUAGCCUCGACCGGACGAGCAAAGGGUCGACCGGUUCACUAGCCGUUGGAGCAUUUAAUGCAUGAUAGGUUACCGUUGCCUCAACCGGACCUCGACCGGUCCUCGACCGGUAAAGGAAUCACCUCGACCGGGAAGAGAAGGCUACUGGGAGAGAGAGAAGGUUUUUAACCUUCCUCGACCGGUCCUCGACUGGACGACCUAAAUCGAUCGACUGGUUCCUUAACCGGUUGACCGAUUGGCCUUAGCCUCGACCGGUUGAGCCUUUUGGCUCCGAAAACCUAUCAUUUUUUAUUUCUUUCUUUUCCAAUACUUAAGCAAGGUCUUUAGGUCAGUUAAUAUGCCAAUUUUGAAUCAAUUUGCCUAAGGUAUAUUUAAUAAAACUCGGGUUUUAAAGAAAAUCAAGUUUUAAAGAAUAAACCGAGUUUUCUAAGAUGCAUGAAAAGGUAUGAACAUCCUAAGUGCACUCAUGCUAUCAUCUUACAUUCAUUUCCUAUGAUCUCAAGUCUUCUAAGCGUCUCGAUCUUGUAUCCAUUUGGUCCUUUGAUGAAUUUUCGAGUUUACACCUGAGAUUCUUAAACAUUAAACCAAUUAGUUAUUUAACCAUGGUUUGUUAUCAUCAAAACCCGAUUAGGAGAACCCUUGGGCUAACACAAAGGAUCUGUCAACUAUUAGCUUGAUAGAAUUAUUACAUUCAUUGGAGGCUGUAGAACAAAUAAGACUCAUGAGACAAGGAGAUACUAUAGAAGGAGCAUUUCAAGCAAGAAUGCAAAAAAAUGCAGGCCAUAAAAAUGGAAAGAAGAACAAGAAGAAGAAGAACAAGCCAAACAACAACAACCAGAAAAAUGGAGUUUUUCCACCUUGUCCUCAUUGCAAGAAAACAAAUCAUUCUCCACAAAAAUGUUGGUGGAGACCAGAUGUGAAAUGCAACAAGUGUGGUAAACAAUGGCGUGUGGAGAGGAUUUUCAAAAAUCAACAACAGGAAGAAACUAGUGCAACAGUUGACCAAUGCCUAGAGGAGCAAUUGUUUGCGAAAACGUGUUUUGCUAAUAAAAGCACCUCUAAAAGCUGGCUUAUGGAUAGUGGUUGUACAAACCACAUGACUAAUGAUCAAGAUCUUUUAAGAAAACUUGUUAGAACAACUAUUUCCAAAGUCAGAAUUGGAAAUGGUGAGUAUAUUCCAGUGAAGGGCAAAUGAAUGGUUGCUAUCGAAAGCCAAAUAAGUUUGAAACUCAUUUAUGAUGUUUUGUUUGUGCCUGACAUUGACCAAAACUUACUCAGUGUUGGACAACUUGUUGAGAAAGGAUUUAAAGUUUAUUUUGAAGAUAGGAAUUGCAUUAUCAAGGAUGCUGAAGGCAAAAAGGUGUUUAACAUAAAAAUGAAGGGCAAGAGCUUUGCCUUGAAUUUACUGAAAGAUGAGCAUGCUGCUUGUUUUGCAACAAGAUAGUACAACAAUGCUUUGGCACAGAAGGCUCGGGCACUUUCAUCAUGAUGUUGUGCUCUACAUGAAGAAAAAUCAAAUAGCUGAAGGACUUCUUGACUUAGAAAAAGAUCUUCCUAUAUGUGCUAUUUGUCAAUUUGGGAAGCAAACUAAACUUCAUUUUCCAAAGAAAACAUCCUAGAGAGCAACCCAAAACUACAACUGGUGCAUACUGAUGUUGGUGGACCUCAAAAGACGUCAUUCUUGAAAGGAAGCAUUGUUCACCAACUCACUGCACCAUAUAAUCCAUAACAAAAAGGAGUCGUGGAGAGGAAAAAUAGAACGAUUUUGGAGAUGACAAUAUGCCUUGUGCAUGAAAAAAAUCUGCCUAAAAUUUUUUGUGCUGAAGUUGCAAGUACAACAAUAUAUUUGUUGAACAAAUUGCCAACAAAAACGUUAAAAAAGCAGACCCCUUUCAAAGCUUGGUUUGGUUAUCAACCUAAAGUAAUGAAAUUGAAAACAUUCGGUUACUUAUGUUUCUCUUUUGUUCCUAAGGUGAAAAGGGACAAGCUAGAUAAACAAUUAGAGAUGAGAAUUUUCGUCGGAUACAGUGACACUUCAAAGGCUUAUAGAAUUUACUUGCCACAAACUAAUAAAAUUGUGGUGAGUAGAGAUGUCAAGUUUUUGAAAACAAAGAAAUGAAGUUGGGAUGAAAAGAUGCAGCAGUAUAAUGAUGAAAAUGUUGACGAGCUUCCAGUUAGAGGUACCCGAAAACUCUUUGAUAUUUACUGUUAUGUUGCUACUACUGCUGCUGUAAAUCAAGUUUUAUGACUUAGGAAGUUGCUGACAGAUUUGGACAUGAAGCAAGAAAUGAGUACUCAAGUGUUUGUUGACAACCAAGCUGCUAUAUCUAUUGCCAAUGACCCAGUUUUUCAUGGCAAAACAAAGUACUUCAAGAUUAAACUAUACUUUCUAAGAGAGGUGCAGAAGGAAGGAGAUGCACAUAUAGUUUAUUGCAACACGGAGAGUCAAAAUGUUGAUAUAUUCACUAAACCUCUACCUAAAGCAAGGUUUGAGUUUCUACGUGGAAGACUUGGAGUUUGCAUCUACUAAGUCAAGGAGGAGUGUUGAAUUUUGAAUUUUGCCUUAGUAUCUGCUAGAAUUUGAAUUUUGAAGUUAAAUAUUGCAGCUGGAGUCUUGCACAAAAUCUGUAACAUCCAAAUAUUUUCAUGUUUUUAUUUGGUCAAGAUUUGGUUUCUAUUUUAUAGGAAGUAGUUGUUCAUCAUCUAGUAGCUUGAUUUUAUGCUAUUCUAAUGUCAUUUAAGUUACAAGCUCAUGUAUAAAUUCAACACUCUUCAUCAAUAAAAAGUGUGUUCCAACAGCCCAAAAAUAUAUAUUCUUCAUAAGUGUUUAAUCUAAGAUCAUCAUUUUGGUAUCAGAAAGUUAUCUUGAGGGGCCAGUGAGUUGAGUGAGCCUGGAUACCUUGAGAGUGCCUAAACACAUAAAGAAUAGCUACAACUUGCAAGGACCUUGCACAAUGCUUCUAAUACUCUUGCACUUUCUCUUGCCGUUCUGUCGGUCUCUCUCUUCCAUUCUCUCUCACAUUCCUCGCUAUAUUUCAUUCCACACAGUGCCUUUCUCCUGUGAAAGCACCCACUACCGAUAUAGCAAGGCCCUCCAUUAGCAUCAAGUCCUGGAAGGUCCACCUUUUUCACCAAUUUGUCAUCCGACAAUAAAAUUCAUUAGGAAUCCUUGAUCUCUCUAGCCAAAAUAGUAAUGAAUACAUAGUUCUUUUCCAAUUUUGCCUACCUCAUUAAGCACCCUAAAGCAGGUGCCAUAUAAGUCAUUCGUAGUGAGAUUAUUAUAGCUCGGUGGAAACUGGACAUAAGCAAUUUCAUGGCCCUUCUCUUCAUCCAUGAAAAAGCACAAAGCAUCUCUCACCGAUUCUGAAUUGUUGGAGUACAUGUCACAGUCCACAUUAAGAAUGAUCGAACCGUUGCUUAUCUUUGAUGACACCCUUAUCUGUUCACCCAAAUCAUAAUCACCCGUAUAAAAAAUGAUGCAAUAGGCCGAGGUGCAUUGGAGGAAAGCUCAACUGAUUUUAUGGAUUUAGGAUUCAUGUGUGUAGAGGCUAGAGCAAAGUUUUACCAGUGAAUUCAUAGCUCCAGCUUUAAAAUUGUGGUGGUAUUGGGGUCUCUUCUCCCGGGACAAGUAUACUAGAGUUGGCAAGGAUUGGCCUUCAACAUCCACGGCCUUGUCCUCUCUCCCAUCAAUUAGUAUCUGUUAUUCUAUAUUAUAUUAGUGAAAGAUGAAGCUCACAAAUAUAAAUGUUUUGAUUUUCAAGCACCUGAACAAUGGACUGAUGAUUAUACUGUGUAGAGACAUGGUUCCACUCUUGAAAUCCUUUGUGCUCCUUUCUUAUUUCUUCUGAAACCCUGCCCAGUCUAGUGGUGGUUUCAAUUCUAUUCUUCAUGUCUUCAUACGAUUUCUACAAUGAGAAAACAGAGUAAGUGUUACACAGGAGCCAGAAAACCGAUAAAAGGCCUUAGUUAUAAUGGUUAAAGAUGAAAAAUUCGAGCACUGUGAGUGUAAAACUUACUGCCAAAGCUACAAAGCCUAAUGAAAAAUAAUUUGGUUAUAAUUCGUUCAUGAUAGUAGUAAUAGUGACAGACUUAAUAGAAUUCAUUUUAAGAUCAGAAUCCGAGUAUAAUCCUAAAAAAAAGGUUCAAACCUAAUCUGUGUUGUCUUUGAAUUCCAACAUGACUGUUCAUUACUUGUAAUAUAAUUUUUGAAGGAAAAAUAUCUGGAAGAAUAUGGGAAGCAAUGAUCUAAGCAUAGUGGGACCAGUAUAUGGAAGAGGGCUGAGGAUGUGACCUCUUUAUUGUCUGUAGUAGAAAACAAAUUCAAUGACAGGACAGCUUUCUUCUUCUUGCUUCUUUCUUAGGUAAUUUGAAAAGAACAAUUUGUGUACAUUGCAUCUGAGUCUUAUUCCAACUUCAUUCAAUUUUUUUUAUAACAAAUACUAGAAAGGUGGACCACCAACUCAGAGCAGCCAUGGAAGCAUAUCUUUAGGCAACAUUAAAAAACUAAAAAAAUUGAAAGCGAAAAGAAUGGCAAGGAAGAAGAACCAUUACUGGGGAGGUUGAAUGAGCAACGGAAAUAGUGCAAAUAUGUUAAAAAUAAAUGUUCAAAUGGAAAUUAAUCUUAAACUAAAAUUCAUAGAAUCCAAAGAAAAAGAAACAGAGAAAGUUAUACCUUGAUGGAGAACCACUCUUGAGCCAUGAGCGGAUUACUAUCAUGGGGUUUGGGAUUUGUGGAAAAAUAAGCAGCAGGUGACCUUGGUUCUAUACUGAACUUCCUGCAAAAUGGUAGCCAAUGUUUUGAGAAGCAAGAGGCCUCUAACAAGGCAUAGAAGGUCAGGUCUGAGCCUCCAUCAUCAGAGAGAUAGGCGCAUAAUUUUUGUGAUGGAUAAUUAUAAGCUAUUGAUUUUCAUGCAACGAUUCUUAGUGAAAAAUUAGAAAAAAAUGAAAAGAAAACACACAGAUUUAACAUGGUUCAGAAGAUUGCCUAUGUCCAUUAGAACACGGAAGAAGAUUUUCACUAUAUUUCAAUUAGGAUUACAUAAACGGUAUUUAUAUUAACUCUCAGGUAUUGAAAUUCUAAAAUACCUUUGAACUGUACUGCGAAAUAUAAGCUUAAAUGACAAAUGUUGUGGCUUUGCUCCAGUAUUGACCCAUUUUUUUCCAUGUCUUUCACUCAAUAUAAGCCACAUAUUACAACAUAAGCCACGAAUGAUAAAACAGUGUUGAUGACCAUGAUGGGCGGCUCUAUUAUUGGUACUGCAGUGCACACAAAUAUGUCUAUGCCUGGAAAAGCGUUCUCGUAUCUGCAAUUAAGUUUCACAAUAGGCAAUUAGCAAGUGAAGAUGGAGGCAAGAAAGGGGAGAGGAAGAGAGAAAAGAUCACCUCUGAGAGAGCCUGUCUUUGAAGGUGUAGCGAUAGCUGGGGUUCCAUCUAACGAAUUGAGUGAUGAACCAGUACAAACUGAACCACAAUUCAGCUAAAGAUAAACCCAUCCAAGCCCAUCUUCUCAGCAGUUGUCCAUCUGCAGCUGGGAAGUGAACCACCCUAUAAAUACAGAUAAAAGUGAUGCCCACCAAAACUGAUGCUGCAUAGCAUCUGAAUAGUAUACGACCCCUAGCAGCUUUUGUUUCAAAGAGAGGAAGAUAGCCAUCUUUGCCCGUUGCUUCUGUCUUUCUCUGACCACCAUGUGAUCAGCUUAUAUAAAUAGUUUGGUUUGCAUUUUUCAUUUUAUUGUUGUUAUGGUCAAAACUUUACUUUGCCGCUUUAGAUGGCAUCAAAGAAAGGAGUAAAAACAAAUUAUCCCAUCUAAGCCCACCCAUCUCUAAAUUGCUUUCCUCUUGUAAAUGAACCGAGCACAAAUAGAACAAGUACCCAUAAAGGUUGAAACUGGAUAAACUGUGAAACAAGAUUUGACCCUUUUCAGCCCUUGUUUCAAACAGAGGAUGAGAAACAUCUCUCUAGCUCUCAUGCUCUCAUACUCUCCCUCUGCUGUCUCAUGCAUUACCUUAUAUAACCUGCCCACUGUUUCCUUUAAAUUCAAGAAUGUUUCUAACAAGGAGACAAGGGAUAUUCAAGGUUUAAGCAUCCUCUGCAUGCACAAACAGAGUUCAUGUGCUCAUUCUUUUUUCCUUAAAAAUUUGCAAUUUCUGGACUCUCUGGUGACACCCUGAUGAACAGGGGUUUAAGCAAGAGGCUUGUAACAAAUUAAAAUGGGUACAUGAUUAAUAUCGAAGCCUUUAUACCUGGAGAAACAUAUACUAUCCAUUAUUGAAAAUUGAAACUGCAUCAGUUAUACAUAUAUAACAGUUCUUCAGAGCCUUAUAUAAUACAUAUGAAGUUGUGGCAAAGAGACUUUGCUUACUGAUACAGUAAACUAAUACAAGGCUAAUGAACAGGCCAACAGCGCUAAAGAAACUGAUUUGUAUGUGACUGAUGUUGGCAUGGUGCCCUUGUCCUUGCGGAAAAAGAGCCCUUGGUAUACGGGCAGGUUGAUGAGAACAAGAACCCCACAUAAGAUAAUCUGCAGAGCCAAUGACUCCAAAGGUUUAAUUUGAAUAUCCACAACCACCCUCUUUACACCACAAACAAAACUGAACAGAUUGAGCAAUGCAAGUGUAGCUGAAAUGGUAAACAUUGGUGAAGGAGAACCAAACUCCAUGAUUUCUUGUUCGUAUCUUUGAGACACAUCUUCAUCACACACCUUUGCAGUGACAGCAAAAGUGGUCUCAGCAAAGCCUAGUAUCCUCAAGAUUGUAUCAAGGAAGCCAAAGAAGUAGGAAGUUGUCCUUCUGAACAUCCAUAUUCUUUGAUCAUUCCACCAACCUUGGAUUGUGCCACCAUACCAAUGAAACUCACCUAAGCUGUAUGCAUGCUUGGCAAUAAUGACAUAGGCAAAGGGAAGGACCCACAGGCUCCAUAUCUGAAAAAGUAACAUAAUUCAUUGCCGGGAACCAAAUAGCAUUUCAAUUGUUUGGAUACAGCAAAGUGUCAUGUCAGGACUUCUCUUUCUAAAAUGGAAGAAGAAAAGCACAUAGUUCUUUUCGAAGUAUUUAGGAAAAUCUAUCAUGUUGAGAAACUAAAUUUAUUGUGAAUAAUUUGAGAAAUUUUGCUAGCUAGUGAUCAUACAUUAUAGAACAAUGUUGCCUGUGCUUGACAGUAAGUAUUUUGCAGUUCUGUACUACUCAAAAGUUUUUAAGUUUGGAAGUAUUUGUUUAAAUGAUGUAAUGUUCAUACCUCUGGAAACAAGGAGAUGCCUCCAAGGAGACAAAGGGAUGGGACAGCAACAUAGCAUAGCAUAGCCAAGGAGUAUGCAGCCCACAGAUUAUAGAUAGAGUAUGCGAGUUGAAGUUUCAGAGGAACCUUUUUGUGUCCAUAUAUAAAUGGACAGUGUCUCGAGAGAAACAUCUGAAGGUGGCCUUCAGACCAUCUCUUGUGUUGUACUAGUGACUGCAACAGUGUUGUGGGCGCAACACCCAAGAAGCCCUUCCUUUCUGGAUUGACAUAGACGGAUCUCCAACCUCUACAUUGUAUUGAGAAUCCUGUGAUAAUGUCUUCCACUGCACAAUCAUACUUCACGCCCAUCUGCAAUUCAACAUAAAGAUUAAGUUUUUUAGCUUAAGAAAAGGAAAAAGCUUUACAGGCAGGAAAUUCAUGAGACAGAGACAGAAGAACCUCCUUUCCCCAUUGACUGUUCUCUUCGUAG